UAGAUUUGAUUUAAUUUUUAUUUCCUUCCUUUUGAAUACACUCCUUAAAACUAUUUUUAAGGAUCAAAGUGUUUCAAAUCGUUUACUGUGAAGAAAUUAGAGUGUUCAAAGCAGGCGUAACCUAGCCUUUGAAUAUAUUAGCAUGGGAUAAUGAAAUAGGACUUUAGUUCUACUUUCGUUGGUUUCUAGGGCUGAAGUAAUGAUUAAUAGGGAUAGUUGGGGUCACUAGUAUUUAAUUGUCAGAGGUGAAAUUCUAAGAUUUAUUAAAGACUAACUACUGCGAAAGCAUUUGACAAGGAUGUUUUCAUUAAUCAAGAACGAAAGUUGGGGGAUCGAAGAUGAUCAGAUACCGUCGUAGUCUCAACCAUAAACUAUGCCGACCAAGGAUCCGGGGUUGUUAAUAUGGAUGACUCUCCGGGCACUUAUAGAGAAAUCAUAAGUAUUUGGGCUCCGGGGGGAGUAUGGUCGCAAGGCUGAAACUUAAAGGAAUUGACGGAAGGGCACCACAAGGAGUGGAACCUGCGGUUUAAUUUGACUCAACACGGGAAAACUUACCAGGUCCAGACACAGUGAGGAUUGACAGAUUGAGAGUUCUUUCUUGAUUCUGUGAGUGGUGGUGCAUGGCCGUUUCUAGUUGGUGGAGUGAUUUGUCUGGUUAAUUCCGUUAACGAACGAGACCUUAACCUAUUAAAUAGUUAUUUAAACUUGAUUUCUUGUAAAUCAAAUGUUUAACUAACUUCUUAGAGGGACUCUUCAC
This 757-nucleotide ribosomal RNA is filed under the name uncultured eukaryote. RNAcentral describes it as "bacterial SSU rRNA". It matches the Rfam family "Eukaryotic small subunit ribosomal RNA", at positions 670 to 1427 of the family's 1831-position model. The record is from RNAcentral.